GCUCAGGACGAACGCUGGCGGCGUGCCUAAUACAUGCAAGUCGAACGAACUCUGGUAUUGAUUGGUGCUUGCAUCAUGAUUUACAUUUGAGUGAGUGGCGAACUGGUGAGUAACACGUGGGAAACCUGCCCAGAAGCGGGGGAUAACACCUGGAAACAGAUGCUAAUACCGCAUAACAACUUGGACCGCAUGGUCCGAGUUUGAAAGAUGGCUUCGGCUAUCACUUUUGGAUGGUCCCGCGGCGUAUUAGCUAGAUGGUGAGGUAACGGCUCACCAUGGCAAUGAUACGUAGCCGACCUGAGAGGGUAAUCGGCCACAUUGGGACUGAGACACGGCCCAAACUCCUACGGGAGGCAGCAGUAGGGAAUCUUCCACAAUGGACGAAAGUCUGAUGGAGCAACGCCGCGUGAGUGAAGAAGGGUUUCGGCUCGUAAAACUCUGUUGUUAAAGAAGAACAUAUCUGAGAGUAACUGUUCAGGUAUUGACGGUAUUUAACCAGAAAGCCACGGCUAACUACGUGCCAGCAGCCGCGGUAAUACGUAGGUGGCAAGCGUUGUCCGGAUUUAUUGGGCGUAAAGCGAGCGCAGGCGGUUUUUUAAGUCUGAUGUGAAAGCCUUCGGCUCAACCGAAGAAGUGCAUCGGAAACUGGGAAACUUGAGUGCAGAAGAGGACAGUGGAACUCCAUGUGUAGCGGUGAAAUGCGUAGAUAUAUGGAAGAACACCAGUGGCGAAGGCGGCUGUCUGGUCUGUAACUGACGCUGAGGCUCGAAAGUAUGGGUAGCAAACAGGAUUAGAUACCCUGGUAGUCCAUACCGUAAACGAUGAAUGCUAAGUGUUGGAGGGUUUCCGCCCUUCAGUGCUGCAGCUAACGCAUUAAGCAUUCCGCCUGGGGAGUACGGCCGCAAGGCUGAAACUCAAAGGAAUUGACGGGGGCCCGCACAAGCGGUGGAGCAUGUGGUUUAAUUCGAAGCUACGCGAAGAACCUUACCAGGUCUUGACAUACUAUGCAAAUCUAAGAGAUUAGACGUUCCCUUCGGGGACAUGGAUACAGGUGGUGCAUGGUUGUCGUCAGCUCGUGUCGUGAGAUGUUGGGUUAAGUCCCGCAACGAGCGCAACCCUUAUUAUCAGUUGCCAGCAUUAAGUUGGGCACUCUGGUGAGACUGCCGGUGACAAACCGGAGGAAGGUGGGGAUGACGUCAAAUCAUCAUGCCCCUUAUGACCUGGGCUACACACGUGCUACAAUGGAUGGUACAACGAGUUGCGAACUCGCGAGAGUAAGCUAAUCUCUUAAAGCCAUUCUCAGUUCGGAUUGUAGGCUGCAACUCGCCUACAUGAAGUCGGAAUCGCUAGUAAUCGCGGAUCAGCAUGCCGCGGUGAAUA
Molecule: ribosomal RNA, 1380 nt
Filed under: Lactiplantibacillus plantarum
Lineage: Bacteria; Bacillati; Bacillota; Bacilli; Lactobacillales; Lactobacillaceae
Description: bacterial SSU rRNA
Rfam family: Bacterial small subunit ribosomal RNA
Source: RNAcentral